CCCUUAGAUGUUCUGGGCCGCACGCGCGCUACACUGACACGUUCAUCGAGUUUACAACCUUGAUCGAGAGGUCUGGGUAAUCUUUUCAAAACGUGUCGUGCUGGGGAUAGAUUAUUGCAAUUUUUAAUCUUCAACGAGGAAUUCCUAGUAAACGCAAGUCAUCAACUUGCAUUGAUUACGUCCCUGCCCUUUGUACACACCGCCCGUCGCUACUACCGAUUGAAUGGUUUAGUGAGCUUUGGGGAUUGAAACACCACGUAGGCUUGCCUGCGCGGAGUUUUGAGAACCAAAUCAAACUUGAUCAUUUAGAGGAAGUAAAANUCGUANCA
RNAcentral lists this ribosomal RNA (329 nucleotides) under uncultured eukaryote. RNAcentral's name for it is "partial 18S ribosomal RNA". It matches the Rfam family "Eukaryotic small subunit ribosomal RNA", at positions 1470 to 1796 of the family's 1831-position model. The record is from RNAcentral.